UACAGAGGGUGCGAGCGUUAAUCGGAAUUACUGGGCGUAAAGCGCACGUAGGCGGUUUGUUAAGUCGGAUGUGAAAUCCCUCGGCUCAACUGAGGAAGUGCACCCGAAACUGGCAGGCUUGAGUACUAAAGAGGGUCGCGGAAUUCCCGGUGUAGAGGUGAAAUUCGUAGAUAUCGGGAGGAACACCGGUGGCGAAGGCGGCGCCCUGGGUAGAUACUGACGCUGAGGUGCGAAAGCGUGGGGAGCAAACAGG
Molecule: ribosomal RNA, 253 nt
Filed under: uncultured bacterium
Lineage: Bacteria
Description: partial 16S ribosomal RNA
Rfam family: Bacterial small subunit ribosomal RNA
Source: RNAcentral